GUGCUCGCUUCUGCAGCACAUAUACUAAUAAAAUUGGAAUAAUAACAGAGAAGAUUAGCACGGCCCCUGCGAAAGGAUGACACAAAUUCGUGAAGCGUUCCAUAUUUUU
Molecule: small nuclear RNA, 109 nt
Organism: Capra hircus (goat)
Lineage: Eukaryota; Metazoa; Chordata; Mammalia; Artiodactyla; Bovidae
Source: Ensembl